Long non-coding RNA from Hyaena hyaena (striped hyena), 561 nucleotides. RefSeq lists it as uncharacterized. The transcript is spliced from 3 exons. The record is from RefSeq and is a predicted model, not a curated record. NCBI's taxonomy places the organism in Eukaryota, Metazoa, Chordata, Mammalia, Carnivora, Hyaenidae.
CCAGCAGACCCCAUGUGGAUUUGUGACACUGCCUCCGUCUCCAGUCUGUCCUCAUCACUGCAGCUAGAUCAUCUUCCUAAAUCAAAGAUAUCUGAUCAUGUCACUCCUCCCGGCAAACGUUCUGUAGCAUCUAUAAGAUUUUGACUUUAAGCGAAAGAAGCUGAGACUCAGAGAAGAUAAAUCACCAACCCACGGAAUUCUCACUCUAUAAAUACUGAGGGUACGCUCCCGAGCAUCACAAGGCUCCCGACCACUGCACUGUUCUACAUGCAGGGCUCUGCCCGGCCCUUUAAAAACCACAGGCUGACUUCCAAUUUGGACAAACCUCUAGCUCCAAAUCCAAACCUUGUCACGGAGGUCCUCAAUGUAGAGGAAUUACUCUUUCGACCGUACAGCAUUAAAAAUCCCUGGAUCUCCGGGAGGAUGGAAGCCUACCUCAUCCCCUAGAGCUGAUUGGUUUAUUUGGGCCAAGUAACCAUAUUCCCCCUGGCCUGUGAUUCGUUCGGGAAUGGGCAUGUGACUUGGUUCUGGCCAAUGGGGUGUAGCGGGGGGACAGCCGCG